Molecule: non-coding RNA, 390 nt
Organism: Exiguobacterium sp. AT1b
Lineage: Bacteria; Bacillati; Bacillota; Bacilli; Caryophanales
Source: Rfam
GUAGGGAAAUAGAAUUCCAAUGAAAGCCAAAUGACGAAUCGUUUACAAAUAUUUGAGAAAGUAUUUGUCACGCUUACAAGAAGGUGGUAAGAUUAGGCGUAGAGGACAACCCUCUGUAUUCUCCAAUGGUGAAAGGAAUGGAUUUACACAUGGUAGGUAAAGUAAAAUGGUUUAACUCAGAAAAAGGUUUUGGAUUCAUCGAAGUUGAAGGCGGCAAAGACGUGUUCGUACACUUCUCAGCAAUCCAAUCUGAAGGCUACAAAUCACUUGACGAAGGUCAAGAUGUAGAGUUUGAAAUCGUUGAUGGCGAGCGUGGCCCACAAGCGGCUAACGUUGUAAAAUUAUAAUUUCAAACCGUGAAGCCGGCUCCCUUGUGAGUCGGCUUUUUAU